GAGAAGGUUCCAAGGGUUCGGCUGUUCGCCGAUUAAAGGUGGCACGCGAGCUGGGUUCAGAACGUCGUGAGACAGUUCGGUCCCUAUCUGUGGUGGGCGUAAGAAGAUUGACGGGGGCUGCCCUUAGUACGAGAGGACCGGGGUGGACUCACCGCUGGUGAACCGGUUGUUGUGCCCACGGCACGGCCGGGUAGCUACGUGGGGUUUGGAUAAGCGCUGAAAGCAUCUAAGUGCGAAGCCGGCCCGGAGAUGAGUCUUCUAUGAAGGACGUUGGAGACGACGACGUUGAUAGGCGGCAGGUGCAGGGCGUGAGAGCGCUAAAGCCGAGCCGUACUAAUGACCUGAAGGU
This 349-nucleotide ribosomal RNA is filed under the name Nostoc sp. HG1. Its description in RNAcentral is "partial 23S ribosomal RNA". It matches the Rfam family "Bacterial large subunit ribosomal RNA", at positions 2556 to 2925 of the family's 2925-position model. The record is from RNAcentral. Lineage: Bacteria; Bacillati; Cyanobacteriota; Cyanophyceae; Nostocales; Nostocaceae.